Molecule: long non-coding RNA, 477 nt
Filed under: Helianthus annuus (common sunflower)
Lineage: Eukaryota; Viridiplantae; Streptophyta; Magnoliopsida; Asterales; Asteraceae
Description: hypothetical non coding rna
Source: RNAcentral
AGAGAUUGAUGAGUACCAUAACAUAGAAGCUUAAACUUACAAACUUGAUAGUAUGUGAUCAUUGUGUUGCUUGUACGGUACUACGAUCUACUCUAUGUUGUCAAAAGCCCUUCAGGAUGCACCUAGGCCCUCAGGUGAGUCACAAGAAAAGCACCUUGAGGCCAUCCAGGCACUCCGGCGACGUUCCGACGAGGUUCUAGUAAGGAUUUGAUGAGUUUCUGCCCAAUAAUUUCUCUAUGCUCACAAGAGAAGAGAUAUAGCACACCUGCUAUUGAAUCAAGUAACUUACGACAGUAAUAAAUUUUUAUUAUUAUGUGAACUACGGUGUAUGGGUAAAAGAUUAAAGAUCCUUAAGUUAAUUUAGAGGUAAUGCAGUCUUCCAUGUAGCAGUAAUAUUUAUAUAAGUGUAUAACUAUAUGAUAACUCAGAGUUUAUCAUAUAGAAAUAACUUUAACGCGGUGAAGUAUACGUAUUUGU